UGCGACGUAGCUCAAUGGAGAGAGCCUCUGCUUUCUACUGAAAUUCAGCCUGGCCGUUGAAAAGUAAGGGCAGAGAGAUGCGGGUUCAAGUCCCGUCGUCGCCACCA
Molecule: transfer RNA, 107 nt
Filed under: Tardiphaga sp. OK245
Lineage: Bacteria; Pseudomonadati; Pseudomonadota; Alphaproteobacteria; Hyphomicrobiales; Nitrobacteraceae
Description: tRNA_Arg_TCT
Rfam family: tRNA
About the family: Transfer RNA (tRNA) molecules are approximately 80 nucleotides in length.
Source: RNAcentral